ACAUGUUGUAGAUAUCCAGGUGGACAUGAGAUCAUGUUGGGGUGUAGACCCUGCAUGAACAAAUUAAUGCACGGACUAGAAGAAAAAUAGUGAAAGUUGUAGCCAUCGCAAAACACCCAAUACAUGUUCAAUUGUUAUUACAUGCCAUAAAACCAAAAACACAAAAAGGAUUCUAUUUGGGGGGGUGAAUGCGCUAUCCAAAAGGUAAUUCUCAGUGUAUAUAGGAUUCACCACAGUCAGAUGGGGACAAUGCAGUU
RNAcentral lists this long non-coding RNA (257 nucleotides) under Brassica napus (rape). RNAcentral's name for it is "long non-coding RNA (BNAP_LNC009729)". The record is from RNAcentral. Lineage: Eukaryota; Viridiplantae; Streptophyta; Magnoliopsida; Brassicales; Brassicaceae.